UACGGGGGGAGCAAGCGUUGUUCGGAUUUACUGGGCGUAAAGGGCGCGUAGGCGGCCACUGCAAGUCGAUUGUGAAAUCUCCGGGCUUAACCCGGAAAGGUCAACCGAUACUGCAGGGCUAGAGUGCGGAAGGGGCAACUGGAAUUCUCGGUGUAGCGGUGAAAUGCGUAGAUAUCGAGAGGAACACCGGUGGCGAAGGCGGUUCUCUGGGCCUGACCUGACGCUGAGGAGCGAAAGCGUGGGGAGCGAACAGG
Molecule: ribosomal RNA, 254 nt
Filed under: uncultured bacterium
Lineage: Bacteria
Description: partial 16S ribosomal RNA
Rfam family: Bacterial small subunit ribosomal RNA
Source: RNAcentral